Molecule: ribosomal RNA, 654 nt
Filed under: uncultured archaeon
Lineage: Archaea
Description: bacterial SSU rRNA
Rfam family: Archaeal small subunit ribosomal RNA
Source: RNAcentral
GCCUAAAGCGUCCGUAGCCGGCUCUGUAAGUUUUCGGUUAAAUCUGUACGCUUAACGUACAGGCUGCCGGAAAUACUGCAGGGCUAGGGAGUGGGAGAGGUAGACGGUACUCGGGAGGAAGGGGUAAAAUCCUUUGAUCUUUCGAUGACCACCCGUGGCGAAGGCGGUCUACCAGAACACGUCCGACGGUGAGGGAUGAAAGCUGGGGGAGCAAACCGGAUUAGAUACCCGGGUAGUCCCAGCCGUAAACUAUGCAAACUCAGUGAUGCAUUGACUUAUGGUCAAUGCAGUGCUGCAGGGAAGCCGUUAAGUUUGCCGCCUGGGAAGUACGUACGCAAGUAUGAAACUUAAAGGAAUUGGCGGGGGAGCACCACAAGGGGUGAAGCCUGCGGUUCAAUUGGAGUCAACGCCAGAAAUCUUACCCGGAGAGACGGCAGAAUGAAGGUCAAGCUGAAGACUUUACCAGACAAGCUGAGAGGUGGUGCAUGGCCGUCGCCAGCUCGUGCCGUGAGAUGUCCUGUUAAGUCAGGUAACGAGCGAGACCCUUGCCUCUAGUUGCCACCAUUGCUCUCUGGAGCAGUGGGGCGAAUUAGCGGGACCGCCGCAGUUAAUGCGGAGGAAGGAAAGGGCUACGGCAGGUCAGUAUGCCCCGAA